This 342-nucleotide ribosomal RNA is filed under the name uncultured eukaryote. RNAcentral describes it as "partial 18S ribosomal RNA". It matches the Rfam family "Eukaryotic small subunit ribosomal RNA", at positions 1470 to 1796 of the family's 1831-position model. The record is from RNAcentral.
CCCUUCGAUGUUCUGGGCUGCACGCGCGCUACAAUGACAAUGUCAGCGAGUUUUAAAUUUAUAUUCGCUUGUGCGAAAGCACUGGCAAAUCUUGUGAAACGUUGUCGUACUAUGGAUUGCUGAUUGCAAUUAUUCGGCAUGAAACAGGAAUACCUAGUAGGUGUGGUUCAUCAGACUGCGCCGAUUACGUCCCUGCCCUUUGUACACACCGCCCGUCGCUCCUACCGAUUGAACGGUUUAGUGAGGGCCUCGGAUUGGUCUCGGCCCGCUCUUUACCGGGCGGCGCCGUUGGUCGAGAAGACGCUCGAACUUGAUCGUUUAGAGGAAGUAAAAGUCGUAACA